RNAcentral lists this transfer RNA (72 nucleotides) under Solirubrobacterales bacterium. RNAcentral's name for it is "tRNA-Val". It matches the Rfam family "tRNA". From Rfam's summary of the family: Transfer RNA (tRNA) molecules are approximately 80 nucleotides in length. Their secondary structure includes four short double-helical elements and three loops (D, anti-codon, and T loops). Lineage: Bacteria; Bacillati; Actinomycetota; Thermoleophilia; Solirubrobacterales. RNAcentral also lists the same sequence under 1 other name. The record is from RNAcentral.
GGACGCGUAGCUCAGCGGGAGAGCACUCGCCUCACACGCGAGGGGUCGCUGGUUCGAACCCAGCCGCGUCCA